GAUGAACGCUGGCGGCGUGCCUAAUACAUGCAAGUCGAGCGAACGGACGAGGAGCUUGCUCCUCUGACGUUAGCGGCGGACGGGGGAGUAACACGUGGAUAACCUCCCUAUAAGACUGGGAUAACUUCGGGAAACCGGAGCUAAUACCGGAUAAUAUAUUGAACCGCAUGGUUCAAUAGUGAAAGACGGUUUUGCUGUCACUUAUAGAUGGAUCCGCGACGCAUUCGCUAGUUGGUAAGGUAACUGCUUAGCAAGGCAACGAUGCGUAGCCGCCCUGAGAGGGUGAUCGGCCACACUGGAACUGAGACACGGUCCAGACUCCUACGGGAGGCAGCAGUAGGGAAUCUUCCGCAAUGGGCGAAAGCUUGACGGAGCAACGCCGCGUGAGUGAUGAAGGUCUUCGGAUCGUAAAACUCUGUUAUUAGGGAAGAACAAAUGUGUAAGUAACUAUGCACGUCUUGACGGUACCUAAUCAGAAAGCCACGGCUAACUACGUG
RNAcentral lists this ribosomal RNA (497 nucleotides) under uncultured bacterium. RNAcentral's name for it is "partial 16S ribosomal RNA". It matches the Rfam family "Bacterial small subunit ribosomal RNA", at positions 28 to 507 of the family's 1533-position model. The record is from RNAcentral.